This is a non-coding RNA of Prunus avium (sweet cherry), 2293 nucleotides long. The record is from RefSeq and is a predicted model, not a curated record. Lineage: Eukaryota; Viridiplantae; Streptophyta; Magnoliopsida; Rosales; Rosaceae.
CUUGUGAAUGUUUCGUUCGCUCAGAGAUUUCCAGUCCAUUUCGGACCAGCUGGUUGGGCUGGUUGAGGGCAGCCAUGGAAGAUCAGAGUUCACUGUUCUGCAUGCGUGGGGGGCCGUCGAUUUUCUUUUGGGGAGGCGCGCUGCGAAUCCAGCCGCCCUUUUGGUCUUUAUCUCAUCGGUUUUCCUCUCAGAUGUUGCGUUCGAGUGUUGCCGUUCCAGCUGCGCUUCAUCCUUCUUCUCAUCGCACGGGUUUAGCUCAAAGGGAUUUCUAGGUUUCGUAAAAAAAAGGGAGGAAGAUCUAAGGAAAAAGAACUGAAGUAAUCAAUAUGAGAACCCCCAGUCUGCUCACCAAUCUGCUUUAUAAUACAAUGAGUUUCGUUCACAUUCGUGGUUUGGAACCAUUCCAAUUUAACAAGAAGAUCAAAGUUCGAGUCUGUAGAAUAUGGCGACCAAAACUUAUCGGAUCAGAUGAUCAAUACCUGUUUACAGUGUGUACUGGUUGACCAAAUGAAUUCAGUUUGUGGGUAUGGAAGUACUCUCAUACAGUUCUGCACCAUGCUGUAAUGCUGUUAAUUAAAGGUGGAAAUUGAUUGUGAAAAGCUCAAGUUCACAUCAAUUCAGUCUCCCAGGUUUUAGAAAGAAAAAAAAACGGAAUUUUUGGUGCUAAAUUUGAUGGGAGAAGGAAGUUUUUGAGCUGUUACAAUUUAGAUCAGCCUUUCUUGAAGCAACUAAAUCACCAAGGAGGUUUUAGGUCAUUAAACACCAGUGAAAACUUCAAACAUGUUGAUCCAAUUUUAUCAAUUGGAAGCUCUGAUGGCUACAUAAUUGGAAGAGGAAGAGGAUGAAAGUAUUUCAGAAACAGGGGAACCAGUAACUAAAGUUUUGAUUCCUGGUCUACCAGAUGAAUCCAAAGGCGAAUUGGGUGCGCCAGUAAGUAGGUGCUUUUGGGAAUGGAAGCCCAAAUUCAAUGUGCAUUAUGAGAAAGCUGGAUGUGAAACCUUAGCAGCUGAAUGGAUGAUUGGUGUAUACUAUGGUACUCCACAAGUGACAUCUGGAGGAAUUGCAUUAAAAUUCUUUGCCACAUUUCGGCUUGAAAUACGUUCUACAGGGAAGAUAAAGUCUGUAAGAACAAUAGCCAUUGUUUCUUAUUGCAUGACAGCUAUUUUAUGGAUGAGUAUAUUUAUCUCUUUUUUGCAAGAUGGUAGUAGUGUAUGAGAGCGUCAAGAGGAGGCUGUGAGUAGAAGGUGGUUCUUUGCAGGCUAGACAAGCAAAAGUUCACUCUCUGGACUUGCUCCACUUGAAGCAGUGCUAUUUGAUAUUGAUAGAACUCUGUGUGAUUUAGAUCCCAUUCAUUUCAAUGCCUUCCACAAAAUGCUUCCAUAGUUUUUGCAAGAUGUUAACAGUGUACAAGAGAGUCAAGAAGAGGCUGUGAGUAGAAGGAGGUUCUUUGCAGGCUAGACAAGGUUGAAAAAGUUUUUUUUUAAUUUUUCCUGUUUUCGUUCGAAACUUUUUGUUUACUUAUUGUCCUUGAAUAUUAUGCUCAAAGUAGUUAAAUUUUUGUCCAAAAUGUUUUAUUUGUGUUUCUUGAUUUGAAUGAAAGUUUGGUAUUUCAUCCUUUUUUUUGGAAUUUUCUUUUAAAUUUGUUCAUAGCCAACUGCUAUUAUACCAUUUUUAAUAAUUUGUUACAAACUUGAUUUUAACCUAUGUAUUUCCUUGAACAUUAAUUUCUCACUGUUAACACAAGUCUUAUUGAUAGAUCAGCUCUUAUCGUUAAUUCUGCAAUCUACCAUAUAGGCUAAUUACGUCAUUUUAUAUUUCUUGAGUUGUAGCUAUUGUGCUACAAAUUUCAAGUGGAACCAAGUGUUAUUCUACUAAGAUUUGUAGGUGUUGGGACAUAAAUGGCAAUACAGUUUAUUUUCGUACUACAUCAGCUUACUUCUUCAUUAGAUUAACUUAACCUAUAAAUGGCAAUACAUGUAUUAGUUUUGACCAUAGGUGUCUAUAGAUUAUCUCUGCUUAUGUACAACAAACUUGCGAAGGAUUUGAUUCUAUUAUGGGUAUUUGAUUUGAUUCUAUUAAAGUUUGGAUCUUUUGGUUUCAUUCUGUUAUAGGUAUUUAAUAAUUUGUGCAAUGACUGAAAUUAUACUUUUGUCCACCAGAUUUGUACAAUGCUUGGCGUAUUUAAAUUGUGGUUUAUGCAAUUGAUUUUUUUGCCUUCAUUCUAUAAUAAUAGUCAAUUGUCUUCGCUAAAAUGUUCCCAUUUGUCCACACUAACACCUACCAUUUUCCAAAU